RNAcentral lists this ribosomal RNA (456 nucleotides) under uncultured bacterium. RNAcentral describes it as "bacterial SSU rRNA". It matches the Rfam family "Bacterial small subunit ribosomal RNA", at positions 338 to 795 of the family's 1533-position model. The record is from RNAcentral.
CCUANGGGUGGCAGCAGUGAGGAAUAUUGCUCAAUGGGCGAAAGCCUGAAGCAGCGACGCCGCGUGAAGGAUGAAAUCCGUUAGGAUGUAAACUUCUGUGGAGAGGGAAGAAUGUCCCGUUUUACGGGAUUGACUGUACCUUUUUAGAAAGCACCGGCUAACUACGUGCCAGCAGCCGCGGUAAUACGUAGGGUGCAAGCGUUGUCCGGAAUUACUGGGUGUAAAGGGUCCGUAGGUGGGUAAACAAGUCAAUGGUGAAAUCUCGCAGCUUAACUGCGAAACUGCCUUUGAUACUGUUUAUCUUGAGUGUGAGAGAGGAUGAUGGAAUUCAUGGUGUAGCGGUGAAAUGCGUAGAUAUCAUGAAGAACACCAGUUGCGAAGGCGAUCAUCUGGCUCAUUACUGACACUGAGGGACGAAAGCGUGGGGAGCAAACAGGAUUAGAUACCCUGNUANUC